RNAcentral lists this long non-coding RNA (1442 nucleotides) under Olea europaea (common olive). RNAcentral's name for it is "long non-coding RNA (OEUR_LNC008001)". Lineage: Eukaryota; Viridiplantae; Streptophyta; Magnoliopsida; Lamiales; Oleaceae. The record is from RNAcentral.
AAAAGUGGAUGUCCUUUUUAUUUUGCUAUCACCCAAUCGGCCCUUGCACUAACUUGUCCGAGUAGCUUUAUUUCUCCUCCAAUUAGGGUUUUCUGUUUUCUCACAAAAAGGAGAAUCUUAUUCAAGGAAGGAGUCAAAAAUAACAUAUUAAAAUCUGCUUCUUUCUUGAAAUCGGCCAUUUUCCUGUUACACGUGCACUGAAAUGGGAAGGGGAAAGUUCAAGGGCAAGCCCACUGGCCGUCGCCAGUUCUCUACUCCUGAGCAGAUGAGUAUGUUUUGCUGUUCCCAUCUUUUCCUAUUUUUGUCUAUAAUAGUUGGCAUGUUUCCAUCUAUGUAUUCGUAUAGCUGUUUUUGAAAUUUUCUUGUUUGUUUCGAGAUUAAAUUGGAUUAGGAUCCUUGUGGAAACUUGGGAUUUUAUAUUGUCGAUUUUGUUAGGGUUUUUUGGUGCUUCAAUAUUGAAUUUCGCUAGAUUGUCUUUUGUUUCCCGUGCAGUUGUAUAUUUUGUUUUUGAUUAUUUGAAAUUGUUUUUGACUUUUUAUUGCCUCUGGUCUCAGCGGGAGAUCCGCGCAUUAGAAUCUGGAUUGGAAAAGUCACCCUUUUGACAUGGAUUGAUUUUUUUAUUUUUUUAUUAGGCAAUUACAUUCGAAACUUGGUUCAAAGUCUGAUAGGUUUGCAUGGAAACUUGGAACAUUUCCAAUUUUAGCACGUUGAAAAGAAAUGUGAGAGAGAUAAUUAACUUCGAAUUAUUUAGUGAAAUUUUUUUUAUUUUCAAUUUAUUUUUGAAAACACAUAAAAGUAGGAAAAGAUUUUCGUUUAAAAUAAGUUUUUCCCCCCCAAUAUGUGGAAAUUGAAUCACUGUUUUACAAGCAAGCUUUAUGUUUUUCUAAAAUUUUGCAAAUUCUCCAUUGCAUUUUGGACCCCUACCAAAGCAUCUAAAAUGUUUCCCUUUUUUCAUUAUUACAUAAAUUAUCAUGGAAAAUUAACUUUGAUACACAAUCCUCCCUAGCUCUUAGUUAUUUGCAAUUAUAUACAUCAUGACACAUUCAUUGAAUUCAUUUAUAAUUUUUCCUUGGGAAUAUUAAAUGGUAAUCAGAAAUAACUAAUGUUGAGAAUUAGCUUGGAUUAACUAUUUGUUAUUUAAAAUGGCUGUUCACUCAAGCUUGGAUUCUCAUAUGUUGCUAAGGCAUUCUUUCUUCAACAUGUAAGACUUCGUUUCCUUGAAUUGCUGAUGUAUCAAGACUUAUAAUCAGUUUCUGAUAGAAUUUUUGUUAAUAUCUUUUUGUACACAUGCGAAAUGUGUUAUUUCCAAAAGAAGAAUGAUGCAAAUAUUUGCCUUGAGCACACUUCAUUAUUGUGUGUUUAGAAAGCAAAAACUAUGAAGUUAAGGUUUCACGUCCUUUGAAGCAGCAGAGGGUGAAAGAAAGAUUGGGGGGGGGGGGGGG